Molecule: transfer RNA, 63 nt
Filed under: bovine gut metagenome
Rfam family: tRNA
About the family: Transfer RNA (tRNA) molecules are approximately 80 nucleotides in length. Their secondary structure includes four short double-helical elements and three loops (D, anti-codon, and T loops).
Source: RNAcentral
ACCAUAGCCAAGUGGUAAGGCAACGGUCUGCAAAACCGUUAUUCCCCGGUUCAAAUCCGGGUG